UACGUAGGGUGCGAGCGUUGUCCGGAAUUAUUGGGCGUAAAGAGCUUGUAGGCGGUCUGUCGCGCCUGCUGUGAAAAUCCGGGGCUCAACCCCGGACUUGCAGUGGGUACGGGCAGACUAGAGUGUGGUAGGGGAGACUGGAACUCCUGGUGUAGCGGUGAAAUGCGCAGAUAUCAGGAGGAACACCGAUGGCGAAGGCAGGUCUCUGGGCCACUACUGACGCUGAGAAGCGAAAGCAUGGGGAGCGAACAGG
This 253-nucleotide ribosomal RNA is filed under the name uncultured bacterium. RNAcentral describes it as "partial 16S ribosomal RNA". It matches the Rfam family "Bacterial small subunit ribosomal RNA", at positions 524 to 776 of the family's 1533-position model. The record is from RNAcentral.